AUUUAACGCUGGCGGCAUGCCUUACACAUGCAAGUCGAACGGUAACGGGCCUUCGGGUGCCGACGAGUGGCGCACGGGUGAGUAAUACAUCGGAACGUGCCCGAUCGUGGGGGAUAACGAGGCGAAAGCUUUGCUAAUACCGCAUACGAUCUACGUAUGAAACCCGUGGACCUCAAGGCCUAGCGUGGAUGGAGCGGCCCAUGGCAGAUUAGGUAGUUGGUGGGAUAAAAGCUUACCAAGCCGACGAUCUGUAGCUGGUCUGAGAGGAUGAUCCGCCACACUGGGACUGAGACACGGCCCAGACUCCUACGGGAGGCAGCAGUGGGGAAUUUUGGACAAAGGGCGCAAGCCUGAUCCAGCCAUGCCGCGUGCAGGAUGAAGGCCUUCGGGUUGUAAACUGCUUUUGUACGGAACGAAAAGCCUUCUUUUAAUACAGGAGGGUCAUGACGGUACCGUAAGAAUAAGCACCGGCUAACUACGUG
Molecule: ribosomal RNA, 482 nt
Filed under: uncultured bacterium
Lineage: Bacteria
Description: partial 16S ribosomal RNA
Rfam family: Bacterial small subunit ribosomal RNA
Source: RNAcentral